UACGGGGGGGGCAAGCGUUGUUCGGAAUUACUGGGCGUGAAGGGCUCGUAGGCGGCCAACUAAGUCAGACGUGAAAUCCCUCGGCUUAACCGGGGAACUGCGUCUGAUACUGGAUGGCUUGAGGUUGGGAGAGGGAUGCGGAAUUCCAGGUGUAGCGGUGAAAUGCGUAGAUAUCUGGAGGAACACCGGUGGCGAAGGCGGCAUCCUGGACCAAUUCUGACGCUGAGGAGCGAAAGCCAGGGGAGCAAACGGG
Molecule: ribosomal RNA, 253 nt
Filed under: uncultured bacterium
Lineage: Bacteria
Description: partial 16S ribosomal RNA
Rfam family: Bacterial small subunit ribosomal RNA
Source: RNAcentral